Molecule: ribosomal RNA, 253 nt
Filed under: uncultured prokaryote
Description: partial 16S ribosomal RNA
Rfam family: Bacterial small subunit ribosomal RNA
Source: RNAcentral
ACAGAGGUGGCAAGCGUUGUUCGGAAUUACUGGGCGUAAAGGGCGCGUAGGCGGUCCCGUCAGUCCCUUGUGAAAUCCCCCGGCUCAACUGGGGAACUGCAAGGGAUACAGCGGGGCUUGAGUUCGGGAGAGGGAAGCGGAAUUCCGGGUGUAGCGGUGAAAUGCGUAGAUAUCUGGAGGAACACCGGUGGCGAAGGCGGCAUCCUGGACCAACAUUGACGCUGAGGAGCGAAAGCCAGGGGAGCAAACGGGA